Paramuricea clavata is the source of this 1405-nucleotide non-coding RNA. NCBI's taxonomy places the organism in Eukaryota, Metazoa, Cnidaria, Anthozoa, Malacalcyonacea, Plexauridae. The record is from the annotation of a GenBank genome assembly.
GUUGAAAAUAUCUAUCAAAACAUUAUACAAUUAUCUUCCUCAAUAUUAACUUAUUUACAAAACUGUCACCAUUGUACUUUUGCCAAUUAAAGUCUAUCCAUGCAUAGUGUAUAAAAAACUGAACCAAAACAAUAUAAUGCAUGUGGCCUUUAUGAGGCAUUAUUGCCAUGUUCCUUUAUCAAAUUAGUUCCAAAUUGUUAGACAGAGUGAAAUAUAGUAAGUGCUCAAUAUAGGAAAUUCCAACAAGAAUACAAAUUCUUGGCAAUGCUGUGUUGUUAUUUUGCAUGCCAUCUAACAAUGGAUAAUUUGAUAAAACAAGAUUUUGCUUAUAUUAACCCAUUAAUUAAGCGCCAGCGCUCUCCCCUUGAUGAGUAAAAUCGUCUGGCGUUAGACAGAGUAAAAUACUAAAGUAGGGUGCAUCAGGGAGCAUUGCCACUCAAUGGGUUAACUAUAGACACAUGGGUAGAUAGGCUAGCUAGUUAACCCGGCCAUUAAGCGCCAGCGCUCUCCCCUUGACGAGUAAAAUCGUCUGGCGUUAGACAGAGUAAAAUGCUAAAGUAGGGUGCAUCAGGGAGCAUCGCCACUGAAUAGGUCAACUAGACAUAUGGGCAGAUAAGCGGGUUAACCCAUUAAGCGCCAGCGCUCUCCCCUUGACGAGUAAAAUCGUCUGGCGUUAGACAGAGUAAAAUGCUAAAGUAGGGUGCAUCAGGGAGCAUCGCCACUGAAUAGGUUAACUAGACAUAUGGGCAGAUAGGCGGGUUAACCCAUUAAGCGCCAGCGCUCUCCCCUUGAUGAGUAAAAUCGUCUGGCGUUAGACAGAGUAAAAUGCUAAAGUAGGGUGCAUCAGGGAGCAUCGCCACUGAAUAGGUUAACUAGACAUAUGGGCAGAUAGGCGGGUUAACCCAUUAAGUGCCAGCGCUCUCCCUUUGACGAGUAAAAUUGUCUGGCGUUAGGCAGAGUAAAAUACUAAAGUAGGGUGCAUCAGGGUGCAUCGCCACUCAAUGGGUUAGGAUAACCAGGAGCCGGUUGUUUCAAAGGCGUUUAGCUUAAACGGUGGAUAAGCACAAAUUUCAAAACAUUCCUAUUCAUUUUGUAAAAAAUUGAACUUCAAUUUUAUCAACGAAAUGUGUAGUUCAAUGCAUGGUUGUUAUGUUUGAACAGAAAAUAUUAGUUUGAUUGUAGUCUAUAGUUCAUGGAUUUGUUUGAUAGUUGAGCUAAAUAUCCUUGAUACAACCGGCCCCUGGCUUUCAACUUUUAGACAGAAUAAAAAUUAUGUACCGGUACAUAAAUACAGAUGCAAUGCCAUCAACAUGGUGGUUAUGAUGAUGAUGACAUGCCAAGGUUUUGGAAGAUUAGCAAUUUAAUUGUAGUUGUUGCCAAAAAUCUUGCAGCAAUCCAGUUUGUG